UACGAAGGGUGCAAACGUUGCUCGGAAUUACUGGGCGUAAAGCGCACGUAGGCGGCUACUCAAGUCGUGGGUGAAAGCCCGGGGCUCAACCCCGGAACUGCCCUCGAAACUAGGUGGCUAGAAUCUUGGAGAGGUCAGUGGAAUUCCGAGUGUAGAGGUGAAAUUCGUAGAUAUUCGGAAGAACACCAGUGGCGAAGGCGACUGACUGGACAAGUAUUGACGCUGAGGUGCGAAAGCGUGGGGAGCAAACAGG
Molecule: ribosomal RNA, 253 nt
Filed under: uncultured bacterium
Lineage: Bacteria
Description: partial 16S ribosomal RNA
Rfam family: Bacterial small subunit ribosomal RNA
Source: RNAcentral